AACGAACGCUGGCGGCAUGCCUAACACAUGCAAGUCGAACGAGACCUUCGGGUCUAGUGGCGCACGGGUGCGUAACGCGUGGGAAUCUGCCCUUGGGUCCGGAAUAACUCAGAGAAAUUUGAGCUAAUACCGGAUGAUGACGUAAGUCCAAAGAUUUAUCGCCCAAGGAUGAGCCCGCGUAAGAUUAGCUUGUUGGUAGGGUAAUGGCCUACCAAGGCGACGAUCUUUAGCUGGUCUGAGAGGAUGAUCAGCCACACUGGGACUGAGACACGGCCCAGACUCCUACGGGAGGCAGCAGUGGGGAAUAUUGGACAAUGGGCGAAAGCCUGAUCCAGCAAUGCCGCGUGAGUGAUGAAGGCCUUAGGGUUGUAAAGCUCUUUUACCAGGGAUGAUAAUGACAGUACCUGGAGAAUAAGCUCCGGCUAACUCUGUGCCAGCAGCCGCGGUAAAGUCUGUACU
RNAcentral lists this ribosomal RNA (459 nucleotides) under uncultured bacterium. Its description in RNAcentral is "bacterial SSU rRNA". It matches the Rfam family "Bacterial small subunit ribosomal RNA", at positions 29 to 532 of the family's 1533-position model. The record is from RNAcentral.